This 1655-nucleotide long non-coding RNA is filed under the name Mus musculus (house mouse). RNAcentral describes it as "predicted gene, 50270". Lineage: Eukaryota; Metazoa; Chordata; Mammalia; Rodentia; Muridae. The record is from RNAcentral.
GCGAGACUGGGCAGCGAUGGGUAUGGAGCAGGGCUGCGGCAGGGGGAGGGCACAAAGGAGCAUGUCAUUGCCCAGUAGAGAAGGUUCUCCUCGGACCCUGGAGGCUCAAGCAACUAUAGGAUCCACCUCACCCGGUUCCCGCCUGCUAGGACAAGUACUGCUGCCGCUCAGCCCGCAGAAUGGAGCCGCAGCUCUUCUAGGUGCCCCCCCCACGCCCACUUCUGUUCCACACACACGCUGCCCGAUCCCACGAUCACCCUGACUCUGAGCAACAAGAUAUCCGAGAUGAAGAACGAUUCAUUUUCUGAGUUGUCCCCUUGAAAGACUUCCAUGAUCAGUGCUGCUGUGGAGGCCAUGUUGAUGUUCGUAGUCCUUGGUGCCUCUGAAUCCACAUCGGUGUCUCAUCCACGCUGCCAGCCAGAGACCACGUGGCUGUCCAUCAUUCCCGGUGCCGCAAGCUGCUGUGGGCAGGAAGAUUCUCUUACAAUAGUACCGAAAAAUGGAUGGAACUGAAGACCAUCAUGUUAAGAGAAAUAAGCCAGACUUGGAAAAGCAGACGUCUCAACUUUCCACAUAAGAAGAAUCGUGUGUGUGCUUGGAGGUGCUGACUAUAGAAGAGAGGCCAAAGUGAAUGGAGGAAAAGGGGAAAGUGCAAGCUAUGAGCCUCCCAGAUUUGGGGGAAAUGCAGUGGUCAGCACAUCGGGAUACCGUGAUGAGCCUCGCCUGAGAACACCAACUUCAUGACCACGGCCGCUCCCUCGCCGGGUGACCAUCUAUCUGCACACGGAUUUCUCCUCUACGUUAAGUAGGAUCACAGGUGUUUGGUUUUAGGGGGUUCUUUAAAUUUAUUUUUGUUUUACGUGUCCGGGCAUUUGCCUGCACGAUCUAUACCACUUACCUGAUACCUCUGGAGGCCAGAAGAGGGUGUCAGAUCCCUUGAAACUAGAGUCACAGGCAGCAGUGAGCAAUCAGGUGGAUAUUGGGAAUCAAACCCAGGUCCUCUGGACGAGCAGCCAGUGCUCUUAACCACUGAGCCAUCUCUGUCACCCCUGGAGUCAUGUUGUUGUUCAGUCACAUUUAUUUAUUUAUUUAUUUAUUUAUUUACUUACUUAUUUAUUUAUCGUGUGCACAUGUGCAUGUGUCUGUGUGUGGGGAUGUCACAGGGCAUGUGUGGAGGUCAGACGACAGACAACCUGCAUCUGUAAGAAUCUUUUUUCUCCUUCCACUAUGUGGGUCCCAGGCAGGUUUGACAGCAGAUGUCUUAACCCACUAAACGUAAGAUCUUCAUCUCACCAGGUCCCAUAGUUAGUCGUUCAUUGUUGCUAUUUGAAGAUAGAGAGGAAAGCAUGGGAUUUACAGACACUUCGACAAAAUAUCUGAGUUAUUUCUAGCAAUGCCCCAGUGGACUAGCAGAGUACAAGAUAAAUCCCCCAAAAGCAUAUAAAAACAAUAGCCACAUCACAUAAUCUGUUCAAAAAUACAAAGAAAAGAGACCCCAUUCACAGCAUCGUGGAAGAAGUGCAUGCUACCCCUAGAAAUACAGAGAAAUAUAGAAAGUUCUAUGACUGGUGAGAGUUGGACCCCAUGUGGAUUUAAAUCUGUUUAAUGAUAGAUGGAAAAAUGAGAACUAUAUUGAGUUUGGCGUACUUUCAAAA